CUACAGAGGGUGCAAGCGUUAAUCGGAUUUACUGGGCGUAAAGCGCGCGUAGGUGGCUAAUUAAGUCAAAUGUGAAAUCCCCGAGCUUAACUUGGGAAUUGCAUUCGAUACUGGUUAGCUAGAGUAUGGGAGAGGAUGGUAGAAUUCCUGGUGUAGCGGUGAAAUGCGUAGAGAUCUGGAGGAAUACCGAUGGCGAAGGCAGCCAUCUGGCCUAAAACUGACACGGAGGUGCGAAAGCAUGGGGAGCAAACAGGAUUAGAUACCCUGGUAGUCCAUGCCGUAAACGAUGUCUACUAGCCGUUGGGGCCCUUGAGGCUUUAGUGGCGCAGCUAACGCGAUAAGUAGACCGCCUGGGGAGUACGGUCGCAAGACUAAAACUCAAAUGAAUUGACGGGG
Molecule: ribosomal RNA, 396 nt
Filed under: uncultured bacterium
Lineage: Bacteria
Description: partial 16S ribosomal RNA
Rfam family: Bacterial small subunit ribosomal RNA
Source: RNAcentral